Molecule: ribosomal RNA, 561 nt
Filed under: uncultured bacterium
Lineage: Bacteria
Description: bacterial SSU rRNA
Rfam family: Bacterial small subunit ribosomal RNA
Source: RNAcentral
CCUACGGGAGGCAGCAGUGGGGAAUAUUGGACAAUGGGCGAAAGCCUGAUCCAGCAAUGCCGCGUGAGUGAUGAAGGCCUUCGGGUCGUAAAGCUCUUUUACCAGGGAUGAUAAUGACAGUACCUGGAGAAUAAGCUCCGGCUAACUCCGCGCCAGCAGCCGCGGUAAUACGGAGGGAGCUAGCGUUGUUCGGAAUUACUGGGCGUAAAGAGUACGUAGGCGGUUAUUCAAGUCAGAGGUGAAAGCCCGGGGCUCAACCCCGGAACUGCCUUUGAAACUAGAUAACUAGAGUCUUGGAGAGGUUAGUGGAAUUCCGAGUGUAGAGGUGAAAUUCGUAGAUAUUCGGAAGAACACCAGUGGCGAAGGCGACUAACUGGACAAGUACUGACGCUGAGGUACGAAAGCGUGGGGAGCAAACAGGAUUAGAUACCCUGGUAGUCCACGCCGUAAACGAUGAUAACUAGUUGUUCGGUCACUUGGUGACUGAGUGACGCAGCUAACGCAUUAAGUUAUCCGCCUGGGGAGUACGGUCGCAAGAUUAAAACUCAAAGGAAUUGACGG